RNAcentral lists this transfer RNA (74 nucleotides) under Clostridiales bacterium. RNAcentral's name for it is "tRNA-Gly". It matches the Rfam family "tRNA". From Rfam's summary of the family: Transfer RNA (tRNA) molecules are approximately 80 nucleotides in length. Their secondary structure includes four short double-helical elements and three loops (D, anti-codon, and T loops). Lineage: Bacteria; Bacillati; Bacillota; Clostridia; Eubacteriales. The record is from RNAcentral. RNAcentral also lists the same sequence under 1 other name.
GCGGGUGUAGUUCAAUGGCAGAACACCAGCUUCCCAAGCUGGAUACGGGGGUCCGAUUCCCCUCACCCGCUCCA